This is a long non-coding RNA of Brassica rapa (field mustard), 7049 nucleotides long. RefSeq lists it as uncharacterized. Lineage: Eukaryota; Viridiplantae; Streptophyta; Magnoliopsida; Brassicales; Brassicaceae. The record is from RefSeq and is a predicted model, not a curated record.
CUAUUUACUUCGUUUGUUACUAUUGCUAUGUCAUUUAAACAUUUACAACUCUUAGAAUUAAUAAACACUAAUUGUUUCCUAGCUCCUUGUGGAUUGGAUCCCUAAGUAUUACAUCUGAACCUCUUUUGAUGAGAGUAACACUCCUUAGGAUAAUUUGAGUGGUAUCAAGCACCCGAUGGAUUGUAUUGUGAUGUUUAAGGAUUUGUUUAUUGACAUUGAGAUCAAUGGAUUCUAUGAAGACUACAUUUCCUGCAAGAUUUUCCUCCAUUCUCUCUCUGGGGAUGCAUCUAGUUGGCUCAAUUAACUGCAGCUAGGAUUUCUAACCUGCUGGGAGGACACUUAAAACGGCUUCCUUAAACAAGUUUCUUGAUGAUCCUGCAGCCACUCCAAAGAGCCAAAAGAAGGCUAAGCUGAAACUAAUCCUAGAGCGGGUGCAGAAGAUGAACGUAGACUUCACUGAGAAAUUGGAUUCUGUCCAUUUAUUCGACUUCUGUUUCUUGAACUUUCACAAACUAACAUGUUAAAGUGACUAAAAGCUUUGUGUCUUCUUCAGGUUGGAAAAAUGUAGCUAAACACAUUAUUCACAAGGCCCGCAUAGGCCCAUUUAAAUAGUGGGCGGGAUUGGUCAUGUCUUUCAGAGACUGGGGUAGCAAACGGGAUGACCCUCAUAGACCCGUUCGAACUGCAGACCAAACUCGAAUUUAGGUUUGACACACUUCUUUCUCUUCAAUUAUUUACCAUUUUAUGCAGCUCAUAUUUUGGUGGAACCAUCCUUUGGCUUACCGAUAACAACUCGAACUUAGGUUUAUGGGUAACCAACCUCCUAUUUCAUUUUAACUAUUGAACCAAAUUGACUUAUUCCCGAAAUUUAUAAAACUAAUAUAUAAUAGUAAUACUAAACACCUUUUUUAAACAAUUCUUAGAUUAAUUUCGUUUACUCUUUUAUUUUUUGAAAAGUUGCUAAAUCUAGAGGCGGAUCUACUUGUCUGGAAGAGGUGUCAGCUGACAGACAUAGAAAAUAUAUAUGUGGUUUGUUAAGCUAGUACAAGUGAAUUUUGACAGCUAUGGUGGUGAUUUCACGAACAUGACUCUUACAAAGUGAUAGUUUUGUAAUUUACACCUUCACAAUUCACUAUUCUACACGUUUUUUUUUUGUCACAGAAUUCUAUCUUUUAUUCUUAUAGAUGAUUUUCAUCAAGUUUUUAUCGAUUCUCAAUUAUUUAUUUAUACCCGAACCAUAUAAAUCAAAGCGAACCGAACCAAAACACAAUUAACCAAUGCCCAAAAGGGACAAUUGUUGAAAAUAAUACACAUGUGUCGAUAAACCUUAUUCAAUUCUUUCCCAUCCUUCGGACUCUCUUCAUCUCUCUCCCACUUCUCUCAUCUAAACCCUAAAACUUGGGAUUUUCUCACUCAGGACCGAAGUUCUGCUGCAAAGAAAGGUGGCACCAAAGAAGGAGAAGGCAAGGUAAAAACAAUCGUUACCGAAGAAGAAAAGACAUUCGCUAAGAACUUCAACAUAAUGGAUCUCCCCGACAUCCUUACCGGAUUUCCUCCGCAUCUGCAACUCCAACGAACUCGUGUCCUCUAUAAAAACGACGCUCCUAUUCAUGUACGAACUUCCUUCUCUCUCUAUUUUACUUCCAAACAGCUUAGCGUUUGUGAGUUUUUUUGGUCUACAAUAUCAGAUCAUGGGUUUGGUCUGUUUUGUCAAAAUUCAAAUCAUAUGUGUGAUGAUUGUUUGAAAGCCUGAAGUCUCUAAUGUUUUUUCUGUAAACGGCGAGUGUCGUUUACUCGGGUGCCUAUAACGGUGUGGGAGUAGACAACAAUGUGAAACUUGAAAACUUUUCUGAGAAUUUCAAAGUUGAUGUCAUCGAAAUUUCAAAUGACGGCAUGGAAUUGACAUUUGAUAUGGUCAGUAUCGAUGCAGCUAUCGCCAUUGCCUUCAGAAGGAUCCUUCUAGCUGAGGUCUCUCUCUCUCUGAAUCUUGAUUCUUUAGUCUUUUGUUUUAAGGUGUUUCUUUUUUUUGUUUUUUUUUACAAUGCAGCUUCCUACAAUUGCUUUUGAAAAAGUAUUUAUAGCAAACAACACAUCCAUUGUUCAAGAUGAAGUUAUUGCUCAGAGGAUGGGGCUUGUACCUAUUGCUGCAGAUCCUAAGCUCUUCGAGUAUUUAUCUGGUAAGAAGACCUUAUGUGGCAUUUGAUUCUUUAUAUGUAUCUCAGUUUAGUUAUUUAUCUCUGUGUCUAUAGAAAACGACCAGCCAAAUGAAAAGAACACCAUUGUUUUCAAACUCCAUACCAAAUGUGCAAAAGGUGAAGGACGUAAGAAAGGUAAUGUUGUUUUCUUUGGUUAGAGCAUCGGCAAAGUUCCUAAUCUCUCAUUAAAGAAUGUUGUUGUCUGUUUCUUUUCUUUCGUUGUUGUAGUUUUAACAAAGGAAUUGAUUUGGUUACCAAAGGGGAGAGAGUUGGUUAAAGAAUCAGGAGAUUCGAACUCAAAGCCUAAAACUUACACUUCCUUCAUCCGCAGCCAAGAAGAGUCCUUCCCUGAAUUCAGUGAUAAUCCAAUCACUCCGAGCUAUCCUGACAGAUUGAUCGCAAAACUCGGCCCUGGUCAUGUAGGUAUUUUGCAAUUAGAGAUGAAUCAAACACUUGGUCUCCUCUAAAAUUUAUCUUCUUUAUGUAGGAGAUUGAGCUGGAAGCUCAUGCUGUUAAGGGCAUUGGUAAAACACAUGCAAAGUGGUCGCCAGUAGCGAUGACUUGGUAUAGAAUGCUUCCUGAGGUGAGAAGUUUAUUUGACCUCAGCUUUAUUCUUGUGUCAUCUUCAUCUUUUGUGCAAUGCUUUUUGUUUGGUAACAUAUAUUAGGUUAUUCUAGUAAGGGAAGUUGAGGAUGAGGAUGCUGAACGACUCGUAGAAGCCUGCCCGGUGAAAGUUUUUGACAUUGAAGACUUGGGCAAUGGUAAAGUAAAAUCCUUCAAACAAUAGGAGAUUCUCUGCAAUUCUGAGUGUUUUAUAUUGACUUUUCAAAAAUGGAAAACAGGUAGGAAGAGGGCAAGGGUAGCACGGCCGCGUAACUGCACGUUGUGUAGGCAAUGCGUGAGGAAAAAUUAUGGAGAGGAAGUAAAGGGAGAAGGAAAACAGCGGAAAAAAUGGAUAGAGAAUGUGGCUCUUCGACGUGUCAAGAACCAUUUCAUCUGUAACAAAAUAUGAAACAACAUUCAUUUUGCUCUACAGUUCAUGAUAUGUCUUAAGAAGAAAACAUAAUUUGAAUUUUGUUAUUUGUGUGUGUUUUCAGUUAAAAUUGAGUCUAGUGGAUCACUGCUGCCGGAUGUUCUCUUCACUGAAGCUGUCAAGAUAUUGGAAGAUAAAUGUGAACGUGUUAUCGCUGAUCUUUCCUGAAAAGAUAUUUUGAUUGCUUUGGUGGUCCAUUACUGGUAUGGUUCCGGUUUAGUUCAGUUUUGAGUCUUGUAUUGAAAGUUUCUCAGUAAUACCAAGAACAUUGAAAUGUUCUGUUAUAGCAUUGGUUCGUUUAAGUUCAAAUUGAAAUUCAAUCAUCUUGAUUCUAACUAGCGUCUGAAGUUGUCUAAAAAGAACGACCCAAGCAUGAGUAACCGGGGUUUUGUACUGGUCUUAGUUUUAACUUUUUCUUUGUAACUCAGUUUUGGUUUAACUUUAGAAAGAAUUAAUCCGUCUUCUUACAGUGACAGCCCUAAUCAGUUUCUAGGAACCGAUAGCUGAAAUUAAAGAUUGUAGCUUUCCGAUCAAACACCCCACUUAGAAAACCAAAUUCAAAAGAGUUUAAGCAAAUGCGAUUUUGAUUGAGAGAAAGAAACCUUUUUGUUCUAGUAAUUCAGUUCAUCAUAUAAGUAAUAAAAGGGGAAUAUCAAUACAAUACUAAAAUGGGAAUAAGGGCUCCCCUCAUGCUUCCACAUCCUCAAAAAUAAUCAGCCAAUAGGAAAUCAGUAAUGAGCCACGUCACACACCCAUCUCUUUCUCGAAUAUUCUACCCUUUCGUGUUUCAAAAAAAAAAACUACCCUGUUCAUAUUCUUUCUUUCUCUCCCGAGUCAUCUCCUUCUGAAACUCGAUCUGAUCACUGAGAAUCUACGGCGACGAAGAAGGUGGAGGAGGAAGAUGAAGAAUGAGAAUCUCAGGCUAUGUAAUCGUUGUUCUAUCUGUAACUGUAUUCUAUUCCGUCGAUCGUAGCGUUCACGCGCGUCCCGUCGUCCUCAUCCUCUCCAACGACGAUCUCAACAGUGGCGGCAACGAUCCCGGAGUCGGAGACUCCUUUAACUUCGAGGAAUUCGGCGAAUCCGAACCCAAAUCCGAAGAGGAGCUCGAUCCCGGCUCGUGGCGACAUAAAUUUUGAUGGGUUGAUGGAGGAAGUGGUGGAGGAGAUAGAGGCGGCUUCUUCAUCCAGAGAUCCGCACUCGCAGUCGCUGAUGGGCUUCGUCUACGGGACGGGGAUGAUGAGGGAGAAGAGCAAAAGCAAAUCCUUCCUUCGCCAUAACUUUGCUGCAGAAGGUGAGAACAUGCAGUCAAAGAUGACACUUGCCUUCACGUAUCUGCGACAAGAUAUGCAUGAUAAGGCUGUGAAACUAUAUGCUGAACUAGCAGAAACCGCUGUGAAUAGCUUCCUGAUCUCAAAGGACUCUCCCGUGGUGGAACCAACUAGGAUCGGGACUGAAGAAAACAAAGGCGCUCUAAGGAAAUCACGAGGGGAGGAGGAUUAGGAUUUUCAGAUAUUGGAGUAUCAAGCGCAGAAAGGCAAUGCUGCGGCUAUGUACAAGAUUGGACUGUUCUACUACUUUGGUCUGCGAGGGUUAAGGCGUGAUCACACCAAGGCGUUGCACUGGUUUUCGAAGGCGGUGGAGAAAGGAGAGCCGAGGUCUAUGGAACUAAUUUUUUUUCCUCAUGUAGUCAUAUAAUGUUCAUUUGUAUCUCUAUUUUUGUUACAUGUUCUAUUAAAUUUGAAAUUUUUAGGCAUAAAGUUAAAUGCAAUAAACAUUGUUUCAGUCGGUCGCCUCCUCUGCCUCUGGAAUUUAUGGGAAUCAGCCUCCUCUUACUAGAUGAACAGGUAUCGACAUCUUCUCCUUCUCUGGAAUAAUAUAUUCAAUCUCUGUCUAAUCAAUACUCAAUAAUCGGUUAACAACUUCACGCUCAAUAUUGUGAUCAACCUUAGAAUUCCCUGUAUAGCUUUAAAUUAACGUUUGCAUAUGAAAAUUCAACUAAGUCUACUUAUAUUACGUUUGGAUUCGCUGAAAAAUUCAUCCACUUCCAGAUGUAGUUGGCCAAAUCCUUUCCGUUCAAGGCUCUGAUCUGAACAACUCUGCAGCAACAACUCGACUUGCCGUCCGUUUCCUCACUGACCCGUAAGCCAUGAAUUCAUUUUUAAAUAGUUUUGUUCCUUAUCUCAUUUAGUUCUUUCUUUCAAAUAAUUCCAUUGUGGUGUAAUGGAAUGAAAUUCACCACGGAGAAGCCAAAAAUAUUUGGAGGUAUGGUUAUCUACUUUAAAGAAUAAAACAGGUUCAUAGUUAUAUUUUCCUGCCAGAAAAAGUAUUCUUCAUACUUAUAUAUUAUAUUUUACUUAAUAAAAUCAUCUAAGAAACACUUGGGCUUACGCAGAUAAUCUCUAUGACUCUAUCUAAACUCAACACCAGCAACAAAAGUUUACUUUGACAAUACCAUUCAUGCUACCAAAGAGUUUACAAACAGGUAAAUCAAGUCUUACCAGCCAUAUUAAUAUCAUGUCUUGGCCACACUUAAAUGUGCUAAUCUUUCCCACAUACUGCCUUCACUACAACUCAUAUUUCAAUAUCUGUUAGUCUUUUCGAAACAUACUUCCUCCAUGCAGCUUUGGAGGUGCUGCAGCGGAGGUCUUUCCCGAGUUGAUAUGAUGGAAGGAAGAAAAAAAAAGAGUUCAUAUCAAUUAGAGAACUUCACACGUUCAUUGCCAACUCCAGUGAAGAGGUAAAACUCACGCUUUCAACAAUCUUUAGUACUCCUAUGUGGCUUCAAAAUAGUAACAAGUAAUGUUAGGACUUUUCUCCCCAUGAAGACAGAAGAAGCUGAUUUUCUCUGUAAGGCUUAGAUUGUGUGAGUUGUCCAGCAAAAUGGCUUGUCGUUUGUAUCUUGCACAGGUUGCAACAGGAAGCUCGCAAAAUCUCUCUGGUGCAACAGAUGUGUUUCUCCUAACGCACCGGGGUCAUCGGGUAUGUACUGUUCUUCCCGAUCCAUAUUUAAAGGAACACCCUAAUUUGAAUAUAUGUGCACGUUUGACAUACUCUCUCUCUCUCUGCUGUUCUGUGUGAACUAGCUGUUGAUGACGGAAAGGAAAGUGCAACUUUUGUUGUCUUUGACAGGGAGAUGAUCAAACUCAUCAAGAAAGAGGCAAAGUCUGGCUCCUGCGUAGAUACGUUUUAACUUCUUAGAUUGGUUUUAAAAAAAUUUACCUUACUCUAAAUGCACCCACAAACGCCAAGCCUACUACAGAUUAGUGGCAGUGGGAGGAAUGGAGCUACCAAAAUGCCCCCAGGAGCUAGCUGGUAAUGGAUACCUUUUCAGCUACGUGUAACUCCAUAUAAUUUCACCUCCAACCACCACACAUUCACCGUCUCUGCCAUUAGUGACAACCUCUUCUUUUGCUCUCAGAGUGGCAACAGCAACAAAGCUCCAGUCGUGGAUCUCAAAUCUGGACAGCCAACAGAAAUUUGCCAGCUCCAGUGGUGAUGCGGCGAAGAUAGCACUAGGAAAUGAUGGAGCAAAUCAGCCAGGUUCUGCAGACUGCAGGCAACGACAAAACCCGCAAACGCCCACGUGAGUGAUAGAUAGUAUCAAGGCUAUCAAACCGUCAACUCCACUUAGCUUUUGUCUCAUUUUAAUUUAUUAUGAUAUCCAUAUAUUUUCCCUAUAUUGAACUUUGGUUCUUUUCGAUUUUCUGAAAAUUUCUCUUAAAGAAUUAAAUAAUUCGUAAAAAUAUAUACUACUCCAAGAUUCAAACGGAAAUGGAAAAAAAUACAAAAAUCACAUCAUACCAUAUAUAAGAACAAAAUAG